ACAGCAGUCGCCACGGUAAUACGAAGGGGGCUAGCGUUGCUCGGAAUGACUGGGCGUAAAGGGCGCGUAGGCGGAUUGAUCAGUCAGACGUGAAAUUCCUGGGCUCAACCUGGGGGCUGCGUUUGAGACGGUUGAUCUAGAGUUUGGAAGAGGGUCGUGGAAUUCCCAGUGUAGAGGUGAAAUUCGUAGAUAUUGGGAAGAACACCGGUGGCGAAGGCGGCGACCUGGUCCUUGACUGACGCUGAGGCGCGAAAGCGUGGGGAGCAAACAGGAUUAGAUACCCGCGUAGUCCCUGUCUCUUAUAC
RNAcentral lists this ribosomal RNA (305 nucleotides) under uncultured bacterium. RNAcentral's name for it is "partial 16S ribosomal RNA". It matches the Rfam family "Bacterial small subunit ribosomal RNA", at positions 505 to 807 of the family's 1533-position model. The record is from RNAcentral.